Molecule: non-coding RNA, 747 nt
Organism: Drosophila melanogaster (fruit fly)
Lineage: Eukaryota; Metazoa; Arthropoda; Insecta; Diptera; Drosophilidae
Source: Ensembl
GGGGCUCUGGGCACUGCACAACGGGGUAGCCACUGACCGCCAGUGACCUGGCACUGGCCAGUGGUGCAACCGUCUGUGAACAGCGUCAAGCCGUGCUAUGUGUACCGCCACGUGGUGGGCCCUGGGUUGAGUGCGACCACAUCCGUGGCGCCUCAGGCCAAAAUUCAUAGUGCGCCCUGCUCACAGUGCCCGCUCUUCCGUGGCACUGCAGGUUUUCCCAACUUGUAGAAGUUAGAAUUAGGUGCUUCUUCCAUAUGCCAAGUGAUAAGCCAACUGACUAAGUACCCGCUAGUGGGCAAACCGAGUGCGCUAAACGCGCUUCUCAGCAGGGCGCUGAAUAGUUCAAGUGUCGCCUACGUCACGGGAUCAGGAGAAGUACAUCAAGGCCCGCCUUAAGGUCAACGGCAAGGUGAACAACCUGGGCAACAACGUCACCUUCGAGCGCUCCAAGCUGAAGCUCAUUGUCAGCUCCGACGUUCACUUUUCCAAGGCAUACCUCAAGUACUUGACCAAGAAGUACCUGAAGAAGAACAGUCUGCGCGACUGGAUCCGUGUGGUGGCCAACGAAAAGGACUCGUACGAGCUGCGCUACUUCAGAAUCAGCUCCAACGACGAUGAGGACGACGAUGCCGAGUAAAGAUGUAGCUGAUCCCUUCAGUGGAAUCACUAGGUUUACAUUGGUUUUUAUUAUACAUUUCACGCCCUCAAGCGGCGUGUUUUUAUAAGCUAACAGAAAGAUGUGAACUC